GGUAGCUUGGCCGAGCGGUCUAAGGCGCUGGAUUAAGGCUCCGGUCUCUUCAGGGGUGUGGAUUUAAAUCCCACUGCUGUCA
Molecule: transfer RNA, 82 nt
Filed under: Pangasianodon hypophthalmus (striped catfish)
Lineage: Eukaryota; Metazoa; Chordata; Actinopteri; Siluriformes; Pangasiidae
Rfam family: tRNA
About the family: Transfer RNA (tRNA) molecules are approximately 80 nucleotides in length.
Source: Rfam by way of RNAcentral